Molecule: non-coding RNA, 80 nt
Organism: Podarcis lilfordi (Lilford's wall lizard)
Lineage: Eukaryota; Metazoa; Chordata; Lepidosauria; Squamata; Lacertidae
Source: the annotation of a GenBank genome assembly
AACACCAUAGUUCAGUCAGUAGAGCACGAGACUCUUAAUCUCAGGGUUGUGCGUUCAAACUCCACAUUGGAUGAAAGUUU